Molecule: ribosomal RNA, 414 nt
Filed under: Acanthamoeba genotype T4
Lineage: Eukaryota; Discosea; Longamoebia; Acanthamoebidae
Description: SSU rRNA
Rfam family: Eukaryotic small subunit ribosomal RNA
Source: RNAcentral
AUCCAUUUUCUGCCACCGAAUACAUUAGCAUGGGAUAAUGGAAUAGGACCCUGUCCUCCUAUUUUCAGUUGGUUUUGGCAGCGCGAGGACUAGGGUAAUGAUUAAUAGGGAUAGUUGGGGGCAUUAAUAUUUAAUUGUCAGAGGUGAAAUUCUUGGAUUUAUGAAAGAUUAACUUCUGCGAAAGCAUCUGCCAAGGAUGUUUUCAUUAAUCAAGAACGAAAGUUAGGGGAUCGAAGACGAUCAGAUACCGUCGUAGUCUUAACCAUAAACGAUGCCGACCAGCGAUUAGGAGACGUUGAAUACAAAACACCACCAUCGGUGCGGUCGUCCUUGGCGGUUGGUCUUCAAAAGCCAGCGGCGGGGGCGGCUUAGCCCGGUGGCACCGGUGAAUGACUCCCCUAGCAGCUUGUGAGA